RNAcentral lists this unclassified non-coding RNA (250 nucleotides) under plant metagenome. RNAcentral describes it as "partial contains small subunit ribosomal RNA, internal transcribed spacer 1, and 5.8S ribosomal RNA". The record is from RNAcentral.
GUAGGUGAACCUGCGGAAGGAUCAUUAUUGAAUAAAUCUGAUGUGGUUGUAGCUGGCUCUUAGGAGCAUGUGCACACCCGUCACCUUUAUCUUUCCACCUGUGCACACACUGUAGUCCUGGAUACCUCUCGCUGAAAGGCGGAUGCGGAGUUUGCUGAGCCUUCGCAAGAAGGCCGGCUCACUCUGAAUUUCCAGGUCUAUGAUUUUAUACACCCCAAACGAAUGUUACAGAAUGUUAUCAUCAGGCUUC